This 545-nucleotide ribosomal RNA is filed under the name uncultured beta proteobacterium. Its description in RNAcentral is "bacterial SSU rRNA". It matches the Rfam family "Bacterial small subunit ribosomal RNA", at positions 65 to 604 of the family's 1533-position model. The record is from RNAcentral. Lineage: Bacteria; Pseudomonadati; Pseudomonadota; Betaproteobacteria.
AACGGCAGCACGGACUUCGGCCUGGUGGCUAGUGGCGAACGGGUGAGUAAUGCAUCGGAACGUGCCCAGUCGUGGGGGAUAACUAGUCGAAAGAUUAGCUAAUACCGCAUACGACCUGAGGGUGAAAGCGGGGGACCGUAAGGCCUCGCGCGAUUGGAGCGGCCGAUGUCUGAUUAGCUAGUUGGUGGGGUAAAGGCUCACCAAGGCGACGAUCAGUAGCGGGUCUGAGAGGAUGAUCCGCCACACUGGGACUGAGACUCUGGCCCAGACUCCUACGGGAGGCAGCAGUGGGGAAUUUUGGACAAUGGGGGAAACCCUGAUCCAGCCAUUCCGCGUGCAGGAAGAAGGCCUUCGGGUUGUAAACUGCUUUCGGACGGAAAGAAAUCGCCAUUCCUAAUACGAGUGGUGGAUGACGGUACCGUAAGAAGAAGCACCGGCUAACUACGUGCCAGCAGCCGCGGUAAUACGUAGGGUGCGAGCGUUAAUCGGAAUUACUGGGCGUUAAGCGUGCGCAGGCGGAUAUUUAAGUCAGGUGUGAAAUCCCG